UACGUAGGGCGCGAGCGUUGUCCGGAUUCAUUGGGCGUAAAGAGCUCGUAGGCGGUUCAGUAAGUCGGGUGUGAAAGCUCCGAGCUCAACUCGGAGAGGCCACCCGAUACUGCUGUGACUUGAGUCCAGUAGAGGAGCGUGGAACUCCUGGUGUAGGGGUGAAAUGCGCAGAUAUCAGGAAGAACACCGGUAGCGAAGGCGGCGCUCUGGGCUGGAACUGACGCUGAGGAGCGAAAGCGUGGGUAGCAAACAGG
This 254-nucleotide ribosomal RNA is filed under the name uncultured bacterium. Its description in RNAcentral is "partial 16S ribosomal RNA". It matches the Rfam family "Bacterial small subunit ribosomal RNA", at positions 524 to 776 of the family's 1533-position model. The record is from RNAcentral.